AGGACGAACGCUGGCGGCGUGCUUAACACAUGCAAGUCGAGCGACGCAUCACUUCGGUGGUGACGGAGCGGCGAACGGGUGAGUAACACGUGGGCGACCUGCCCUCAGCUCUGGGACAACUCCGGGAAACCGGGGCUAAUACCGGAUACGACCUUUCACCUCAUGGUGUUUGGUGGAAAGUUUUUCGGCUGGGGAUGGGCCCGCGGCCUAUCAGCUUGUUGGUGGGGUAAUGGCCUACCAAGGCGACGACGGGUA
RNAcentral lists this ribosomal RNA (255 nucleotides) under uncultured soil bacterium. Its description in RNAcentral is "partial 16S ribosomal RNA". It matches the Rfam family "Bacterial small subunit ribosomal RNA", at positions 26 to 285 of the family's 1533-position model. The record is from RNAcentral.